AAAAUGAUGUACUGCUGGCUGCUGUGUAGGCAGGGGACGUUUUUUUAAGUUGUGUGAGUUGUGUCCUGAGUGUUUCUGGAGCAAGUGCGCAUGCCUCUGGGAGAAUUACAGACAUCUGGUGUGGAGGUCAAGUUGCAGUCUGUGUAGAACCAAUCAAUGGAGCCAGGAGUAGAACACCCCUCCCUUCAUGUGCUCCACCACAGCUAAAAAGCCAAGAAUGACUGUACACACAAACAAACUUAUCACGCGUACACACACCAGUCCAAAACACACCCACCUUUUACACAACAGUACGUGUUCGGGUCCAUUGUAUUUACUGACAAAUCUCGUCACACAAGCCAGCAACCUAAGAGCAAACACAUGUAGGCUGAGAGAAUGAGCAGGCAUACUCGACACGUGUGGAGAGGGAACCUUGCCCUAGAUUCUCAAGGAAAUCUCAUAUUACAUCUCUGCUUUAGCCAGACUGUGUGAAGGAUUCAGUCAUCCAGAAUGUGCAGCCCUAUACACUCUAUAGGACACACUCUGGCAGACUGCAUGCGCGCACACUGAAAAAAUGUAAUGACACUUUAAUGCAGUGUAGAUGGUGACGUAUGUUUUUCUUAAACAAUAUUAUACAUGGUUUUCUUUUUUUGGAUGUAAUGCUAAUCUAAGAUGUCUAGGCACAUUUACUUGACUGUUCACUUCUGCAGCAGUGAUUGUUGGGCUCUUACAAGUGUUGAACAUUUGAAGUUCAUUACUUUGUGCUCUUUUUUUUUUCAGAUAAACGCUGAGUUUAAGAGAAUUACCACCAUACCACUUCAGUUAAAGUUCUCCAUUUUGAUAACCUGAGGAAGCUGUUCAAAAGAAGAGGAGGACAGCUUGGACAAAUUGUUGCACAAAUGGAUGAUAUGUUGAUGCUGCAUGGGAGUAUCAUUAAAGAAGUCUGCAUGUAUAUAGGAGAAGAUCCAGCCAAGCUCAUCCAGGAGUAUGUGGGUGUGGAUGAAGCUACCAUUGAAGAGGCUAUUGGAACCACCACCAUCUGCGUUUUUCAUCUGAAAGACUUCAUCACAUGAAGACAUCAGGAUCGUCCUGGAAGGCAUCAGAGUGGUGUCCAAUUUGGAUAGUGUGCCAACAGCUGUUGUAAUACUUGUUGGACUGAUAUAUGGACUGAACCUCGCCUACCCUGCUGACCUUCGCUACACUUUUGAGGUGUUACAGAAGAUAACAAUGGAACUGGAUGGAGGUAAACUCUCCAACAAGACAUUAUUCAUUAAAAACUGAGUGAGUAAAUGGACAUUUUUAAA
Molecule: long non-coding RNA, 1283 nt
Organism: Poecilia reticulata (guppy)
Lineage: Eukaryota; Metazoa; Chordata; Actinopteri; Cyprinodontiformes; Poeciliidae
Source: RefSeq, a predicted model, not a curated record